This 559-nucleotide ribosomal RNA is filed under the name uncultured bacterium. RNAcentral describes it as "partial 16S ribosomal RNA". It matches the Rfam family "Bacterial small subunit ribosomal RNA", at positions 355 to 1375 of the family's 1533-position model. The record is from RNAcentral.
UGGGGAAUAUUGGACAAUGGGCGCAAGCCUGAUCCAGCAAUGCCGCGUGAGUGACGAAGGCCUUAGGGUUGUAAAGCUCUUUCGCACGCGACGAUGAUGACGGUAGCGUGAGAAGAAGCCCCGGCUAACUUCGUGCCAGCAGCCGCGGUAAUACGAAGGGGGCUAGCGUUGUUCGGAAUUACUGGGCGUAAAGGGCGCGUAGGCGGCCUGUUUAGUCAGAAGUGAAAGCCCCGGGCUCAACCUGGGAAUAGCUUUUGAUACUGGCAGGCUUGAGUUCCGGAGAGGAUGGUGGAAUUCCCAGUGUAGAGGUGAAAUUCGUAGAUAUUGGGAAGAACACCGGUAGCGAAGGCGGCCAUCUGGACGGACACUGACGCUGAGGCGCGAAAGCGUGGGGAGCAAACAGAUUAGAUACCCUGGUAGUCCACGCCGUAAACGAUGAAUGCUAGACGUCGGGGUGCAUGCACUUCGGUGUCGCCGCUAACGCAUUAAGCAUUCCGCCUGGGGAGUACGGCCGCAAGGUUAAAACUCAAAGGAAUUGACGGGGUCAUAGCUGUUUCCU